Long non-coding RNA from Oncorhynchus keta (chum salmon), 992 nucleotides. RefSeq lists it as uncharacterized. Lineage: Eukaryota; Metazoa; Chordata; Actinopteri; Salmoniformes; Salmonidae. The record is from RefSeq and is a predicted model, not a curated record. The transcript is spliced from 4 exons.
ACAUGGCUGUUAUAGAAUGUUGUAGUGUCAUGUUAAUGGGGUUCUAACAUGGCUGAUAUAGAAUGUUGUAGUGUCAUGUUAAUGGGGUUCUAACAUGGCUGUUAUAGAAUGUUGUAGUGUCAUGUUAAUGGGGUUCUAACAUGGCUGAUAUAGAAUGUUGUAGUGUCAUGUUAAUGGGGUUCUAACAUGGCUGUUAUAGAAUGUUGUAGUGUCAUGUUAAUGGGGUUCUAACAUGGCUGAUAUAGAAUGUUGUAGUGUCAUGUUAAUGGGGUUCUAACAUGGCUGUUAUAGAAUGUUGUAGUGUCAUGUUAAUGGGGUUCUAACAUGGCUGUUAUAGAAUGUUGUAGUGUCAUGUUAAUGGGGUUCUAACAUGGCUGUUAUAGAAUGUUGUAGUGUCAUGUUAAUGGGGUUCUAACAUGGCUGUUAUAGAAUGUUGUAGUGUCAUGUUAAUGGGGUUCUAACAUGGCUGUUAUAGAAUGUUGUAGUGUCAUGUUAAUGAGGUUCUAACAUGGCUGUUAUAGAAUGUUGUAGUGUCAUGUUAAUGGGGUUCUAACAUGGCUGUUAUAGAAUGUUGUAGUGUCAUGUUAAUGAGGUUCUAACAUGGCUGUUAUAGAAUGUUGUAGUGUCAUGUUAAUGAGGUUCUAACAUGGCUGUUAUAGAAUGUUGUAGUGUCAUGUUAAUGGGGUUCUAACAUGGCUGUUAUAGAAUGUUGUAGUGUCAUGUUAAUGAGGUUCUAACAUGGCUGUUAUAGAAUGUUGUAGUGUCAUGUUAAUGGGGUUCUAACAUGGCUGUUAUAGAAUGUUGUAGUGUCAUGUUAAUGAGGUUCUAACAUGGCUGUUAUAGAAUGUUGUAGUGUCAUGUUAAUGGGGUUCUAACAUGGCUGUUAUAGAAUGUUGUAGUGUCAUGUUAAUGGGGUUCUAACAUGGCUGUUAUAGAAUGUUGUAGUGUCAUGUUAAUGAGGUGCUAACAUGACUGUUAUAGAAUGUUGUAGU